RNAcentral lists this transfer RNA (66 nucleotides) under Anser anser (Domestic goose). Its description in RNAcentral is "tRNA-Cys". RNAcentral also lists the same sequence under 7 other names. The record is from RNAcentral. Lineage: Eukaryota; Metazoa; Chordata; Aves; Anseriformes; Anatidae.
GGCUCUGUAGUGAAAUUCAUGUUGAGUUGCAAGCUCAUCGAUGCGCACUAGGGUGCGUCAGGGUCU